GGGAGGGCGAAGCCCCCCGCCCUGGUUAGAGUUAGGUAGAAUAGAUUAGGUCUGUUACGAUAGGAUAGUGUAAAAAUUUCUCGUUUCGAAAUAUGCCGUUUGUCAUCCUUAAGACUUUUCAGGAAUGUCAAAAAAGCCUCAUUUUGGUUUUCCCCACCCAGCCCCUUUGUUUGCUGGCUUUACUGAAAAAGACAGAGGAUGGGAGUAUUGGUUGAAACUGCAAAUUUACCCUGUUUUCUCUCAAAUUGAUUGGUUUAAUGUUUAGUGUACAUUUUAUUACGCAAUAUUAAUCAUUAGGUAGUUGUUUGAGAAGAAAAUGCUGCCUUAGGAUUCUUUAUAGUUUCCGUAAGGCAAAAUUCACGUCAUUAUGGCAUUUUUUAAGUACCAUUAACGAUCAUGAAACAAGAGAUUGUCAGCUAUUGAGUCGUACUGAAUAAACGAUCGAAGCAGUUAGAGAUAUUCGAAGCAAGUGGGAUUCAGAGUGCAUAAUCUUUCCCAUCCUUGUGUUGUUUCUGACGUCCGGCGCCGAGCGUGGUGGUGCUGUUGUAGUUCUCUUUCCCCAGUUGUUUAUGUCCCCGCUGAGCAAGUGCAGUAUUUGGAAGAGCUGGCACGGCGAGUCUCCGGCGAGGCGUGCGGGAGUUACUCUUGAGGACGAUGGCAAGGCGCUACAAGAAGGAAAAUAUUGCCCGCCAGCAAAGCCAGAUGGUGAUAUGGAAUCGUGAUUCGUGGAGUGUACCUUGGACGAUGCUUAGAGUGACUUGACAGAACAAAUUACAUCGCCACAGCCUGAGCAGCACUAUUACGAAGGUAACUGAGGAACGGUUUACAGUGUCUUGUGGCACAGACAGACGAACUGAGCACUUCCUCUGCUGAUGGUCACCGACUUGCUCAUAUCCAAGCACCAGCAUGGCUCUCCAAGAUGUGGGCGGCGUCGGGCCGACCCAUCACUCGCAGCACAUUGAGGAGGGACACAAGAAGUGUGUGAGGCAUGCUUCAGGACCCACCUGUCCACAUUUAGCCGGGCAGCAAGCAUGCGCCAGUCAUUGCCCCGGGCAUUGGGUGGGUCAAGGCAGCGGCACAGCUCCCACCGCAGUCGCUGUGGCAGGCGGAACACUCCAGGCUCAGGGGUCAGCUCCACCAGGGAGGAAAAGCCACUGCUAGAUGUCACUGGUACCAAGACUGUUGAGAGGAUGGUAGCCAGUGGAGUAAGAAACACUGUAGCUCAUCCACAAUGUGUAUACUUUCUUCCAGGAAGUUAAUUUUUUCAAUUCUUGUUUUCCAUAAACAUUAUUCAGUAGC
Molecule: long non-coding RNA, 1299 nt
Organism: Scylla paramamosain (green mud crab)
Lineage: Eukaryota; Metazoa; Arthropoda; Malacostraca; Decapoda; Portunidae
Exons: 5
Source: RefSeq, a predicted model, not a curated record